AACCGACACAGGUAGUCAAGAUGAGAAUUCUAAGGUGAGCGAGCGAACUCUCGUUAAGGAACUCGGCAAAAUGACCCCGUAACUUCGGGAGAAGGGGUGCUCUUUAGGGUUAACGCCCAGAAGAGCCGCAGUGAAUAGGCCCAAGCGACUGUUUAUCAAAAACACAGGUCUCUGCUAAACCGUAAGGUGAUGUAUAGGGGCUGACGCCUGCCCGGUGCUGGAAGGUUAAGAGGAGUGGUUAGCUUCUGCGAAGCUACGAAUCGAAGCCCCAGUAAACGGCGGCCGUAACUAUAACGGUCCUAAGGUAGCGAAAUUCCUUGUCGGGUAAGUUCCGACCCGCACGAAAGGCGUAACGAUUUGGGCACUGUCUCAACGAGAGACUCGGUGAAAUCAUAGUACCUGUGAAGAUGCAGGUUACCCGCGACAGGACGGAAAGACCCCGUGGAGCUUUACUGUAGCCUGAUAUUGAAAUUCGGCACAGCUUGUACAGGAUAGGUAGGAGCCUUUGAAACGUGAGCGCUAGCUUACGUGGAGGCGCUGGUGGGAUACUACCCUAGCUGUGUUGGCUUUCUAACCCGCACCACUUAUCGUGGUGGGAGACAGUGUCAGGCGGGCAGUUUGACUGGGGCGGUCGCCUCCUAAAAGGUAACGGAGGCGCUCAAAGGUUCCCUCAGAAUGGUUGGAAAUCAUUCAUAGAGUGUAAAGGCAUAAGGGAGCUUGACUGCGAGACCUACAAGUCGAGCAGGGUCGAAAGACGGACUUAGUGAUCCGGUGGUUCCGCAUGGAAGGGCCAUCGCUCAACGGAUAAAAGCUACCCCGGGGAUAACAGGCUUAUCUCCCCCAAGAGUUCACAUCGACGGGGAGGUUUGGCACCUCGAUGUCGGCUCAUCGCAUCCUGGGGCUGUAGUCGGUCCCAAGGGUUGGGCUGUUCGCCCAUUAAAGCGGUACGCGAGCUGGGUUCAGAACGUCGUGAGACAGUUCGGUCCCUAUCCGUCGUGGGCGUAGGAAAUUUGAGAGGAGCUGUCCUUAGUACGAGAGGACCGGGAUGGACAUACCUCUGGUGUACCAGUUGUCGUGCCAACGGCAUAGCUGGGUAGCUAUGUGUGGACGGGAUAAGUGCUGAAAGCAUCUAAGCAUGAAGCCCCCCUCAAGAUGAGAUUUCCCAACUUCGGUUAUAAGAUCCCUCAAAGAUGAUGAGGUUAAUAGGUUCGAGGUGGAAGCAUGGUGACAUGUGGAGCUGACGAAUACUAAUCGAUCGAAGACUUAAUCAA
Molecule: ribosomal RNA, 1271 nt
Filed under: Staphylococcus aureus
Lineage: Bacteria; Bacillati; Bacillota; Bacilli; Caryophanales; Staphylococcaceae
Also listed under: 1 other name
Description: partial 23S ribosomal RNA
Rfam family: Bacterial large subunit ribosomal RNA
Source: RNAcentral